AUUGGGAUUAUAACAACUUCCACCCUGCUGGAUGGCUGAGCAAUCUGCUCCCAUCCCACAAGCAUAAUCAAGCGCCGACUGAAGUGAAGUGUCUCCAGCUCCAUUCUUUGCAAUACACCAGCUCUGCCCUCCAGUAGCAGGAGCGUUUGUGGUUGCAGGAGGCGUUACUGGGGUGGUGGCAGGAACACCCCCUACAGGAUUUGGGUUAGUUGUUACAGGAUUACUUACGGGUGUACUUGUGCUGGGGGUGGUAACUGGAUUAGUUAGUGGUACCGGAGGAUUGGGGUUUGGGUCAGUCACAGGGGUCACAGAAGGAGCUGCUGGAGGUAUAGACCCAAAAUUUGGAAUUCCAAGAUUAGGAUUUGUGGACGGGACAGUAACAACUGUUGGAGCUGAGUUAUCUGGAGGCAUAUUAGACGGAGUUGUGACAGGAUUUACUAUAGGGGUUGUAGGAAAUCCAGUUGUUACCCAUUAGAGCUAUUAAACAUGAUUUGAUGGAUCCACCAGCAACAACUG
This 516-nucleotide unclassified non-coding RNA is filed under the name Hevea brasiliensis (rubber tree). The record is from RNAcentral. Lineage: Eukaryota; Viridiplantae; Streptophyta; Magnoliopsida; Malpighiales; Euphorbiaceae.